Canis lupus familiaris (dog) is the source of this 1460-nucleotide long non-coding RNA. RefSeq lists it as uncharacterized. NCBI's taxonomy places the organism in Eukaryota, Metazoa, Chordata, Mammalia, Carnivora, Canidae. The record is from RefSeq and is a predicted model, not a curated record. The transcript is spliced from 2 exons.
CCGUGCUGACCCCUGCGGUGUCCGCGCGCGGGGGACUCGGCUGCGCAGUUGUGCUAGUGGGGCCUGCGCGCGCUCGCCCCGGCCGGCGGGUCUAAGGGAAGGUUGCGGCUCUUUACUUUCUCCUGGUACUUUUCCGUGGCGACAGCUUUCCAGUGGCGAAGACGUUUCUGCCCCUGAGGCCUGUUUAGGAGCUGGGCCUCUACUCUGCAAGGUCUCUCUCUCUAUUCAGGAUCGACAUAGAGGUUUUCCAAAUUUGAAGUUAACAUAGGAGCCACACCAAAAAGGACUUACAGGACUUGUUCACUCUCUUGCCUGAAACAACAAAACAAAACAGGACAGAAGCACACAAGAUGCACGAAAUGCAGAUUUAUUUCCAAAAUACCGGGUCAGGCAAAGAGGAUAGUACUCCUGGAGAUAUGGAGACACAGGUGACCUGAGCCCUACAGCUGCUCCAAGGCACUGCCUCCAGAUCUUAUCCAAGCCAGCAGGGGUGGCAUUGGAAGAGGAGCCCUGUGGACACCUUGGAGUUUAGGACUCUGAGCUGAGAGACCCCAGGACAGCAUCCGGGGAGGAUAGAACUGCGGAAAGGAACCAUGGAAGAGCUGUGGAGGGGCCUGCGGCGUGCAACAGGGUCCUCCCUGAGACACGACGACAGCACCUCUGAGGACAAUCAUAGGACCAGGGCCUGGCACUCUCGCAGGCUACGGCCCCCUUUCAGGAUCAAUCCUCUGAAAACAACCCAAAGCUGACACAGAUGUGAGAACCACCAGCGCAGGACUAGAAAGUGUUUGUUUGUUACAAGUGCAUUCAUUCCUUUGGUUCAAAAUAUUCAGCAGAUAUAUGGAAAAUGUGAAAAUGAUCCAAUCUCACGUUAAGAGAUGAGAACCACAGAGUCUGAAAGGAAUUGUAUAGCAAGGGCUGAAUGCGAUUCGAGGAGGCAGAAGGAAAAUGCUUGAUAGCAAUCCUGUGGGAAUCUGCGGGUCGCGGUAUUGCCAUCUUAACCACGUACACCUUGCUUCCCACCCAGGAGCGCAGCAUGUCUUUCCACUCUUUAGGUCUUCUUGAAUCUCUUGCAGCAACGUUGUGUCGUUUUCAGUGUACAGAUUUUGUUCUCCUUGAAUCAAUUAUUCCUAGAUACUUUAUUCUGGUGGACGCUAUUGUAAAUGGAACAGUUUUCGUAAUUUCCUUUUCUGAUUGUUCAUUGCUUGUGUGCUAGCAAUGUGGUGUGUCCUGUAUCCUGACUCUCUGUAGAAUUAGGUUAUGGAGUUGGGCCGCGUCAGUAUUUGGUAUUUUUUCUCACUAUAGGAGCAUGUCAUCUGCAAAUACAGAUACCAGCGGACCCUUGAAAAUCCUGGGGGUUAGGGGUACAGAUUCCCACAAUUAAAAUCUGUGUAUUACUUUUGACUCCACAAAGACUUAUCUGCUCAUAGCCUACUGACGCCUUACAUGUAAAAAAAAAA